CAACCUGAACUCAGUCGUGAUUACCCGCUGAACUUAAGCAUAUCAUUUAGCGGAGGAAAAGAAACUAAAAAGGAUUCCCCUAGUAACGGCGAGUGAAACGGGAAGAGCCCAGCGCCGAAUCGAUCAGUCUUUGGCUGCUUCGAAAUGUGGCGUAUAGGUGUAGUCUUCCAGCAGUGUCGUAUGUCCGAAGUCCUUGCGAUUGAGGCCAUAAACCAGAGAGGGUGCGAGCCCCGUUCUGGAUAGCGGCGCUGUUGGUUCGACUGCUCCUUGGAGUCGGGUUGCUUGAAAGUGCAGCCUAAAGUGGGUGAUAAACUUCAUCUAAGGCUAAAUAUUGACUCGAUUGCGAUAGCGAACAAGUACCGUGAGGGAAAGUUGCAAAGGACUUUGAAGAGAGAGUUCAAGAGAACGUGAAAUCGCUGGAGUGGAACCGGAGACAGUUGAUGUUGCUUGGAGACAAUCUUGGUGGCUGAUCGCUUAGCUGUGAUCGCCGCCGGGAGUCGUUUCCUAUGCUACGCCGACGGCGUUGGCCGCUCGUUCUGGCCCGACAGUGUUGCCCAUCUCGCAAGAGACGGUGUCUUGUUGUCGGUCGUUGGUUCGUGGUGGCUAGCGUUUAGUUACGCUAGUGUGUGUGACGUCGGUGUGAAAGUCGACGACGUUUCCGACCCGUCUUGAAACACGGAUUACGGAGUGUUUGUCUGCUGCGAGUCAAAGGGUGUAAAAACCUUGCG
This 728-nucleotide non-coding RNA is filed under the name Caenorhabditis japonica. Its description in RNAcentral is "Eukaryotic large subunit ribosomal RNA". It matches the Rfam family "Eukaryotic large subunit ribosomal RNA", at positions 1 to 713 of the family's 3401-position model. Lineage: Eukaryota; Metazoa; Nematoda; Chromadorea; Rhabditida; Rhabditidae. The record is from Rfam by way of RNAcentral.